AAUCAACGCUGGCGGCGUGCCUAACACAUGCAAGUCGAACGCGAAAGCCCCGCAAGGGGUAAGUAGAGUGGCAAACGGGUGAGUAACACGUGGGUGACCUGCCCUCGAGCGGGGGAUAACGUCCCGAAAGGGACGCUAAUACCGCAUAACAUCCUGCCUUUGAAGAGGCGGUGAUCAAAGCUGGGGAUCGCAAGACCUAGCACUCGAAGAGGGGCCCGCGUCCGAUUAGCUAGUUGGUGGGGUAAUGGCCCACCAAGGCAACGAUCGGUAGCCGGCCUGAGAGGGCGGACGGCCACACUGGGACUGAGACACGGCCCAGACUCCUACGGGAGGCAGCAGUGGGGAAUUGUUCGCAAUGGGCGCAAGCCUGACGACGCAACGCCGCGUGGAGGAUGAAGAUCUUCGGGUCGUAAACUCCUUUCGAUCGAGACGAAUUCCUCUGGGGUGAACAAUCCCGGAGGUUGACGGUACCGAGAGAAAAAGCCCCGGCUAACUCCGUGCCAGCAGCCGCGGUAAUACGGGGGGGGGCAAGCGUUGUUCGGAAUUACUGGGCGUAAAGGGCUCGUAGGUGGCCAACUAAGUCGGACGUGAAAUCCCUCGGCUUAACCGGGGAACUGCGUCCGAUACUGGUUGGCUUGAGUUUGGGAGAGGGAUGCGGAAUUCCAGGUGUAGCGGUGAGAUGCGUAGAUAUCUGGAGGAACACCGGUGGCGAAAGCGGCAUCCUGGACCAAUACUGACGCUGAGGAGCGAAAGCCAGGGGAGCAAACGGGAUUAGAUACCCCGGUAGUCCUGGCCCUAAACGAUGAAUGCUUGGUGUGGCGGGUAUCGAUCCCUGCCGUGCCGAAGCUAACGCAUUAAGCAUUCCGCC
Molecule: ribosomal RNA, 868 nt
Filed under: uncultured bacterium
Lineage: Bacteria
Description: bacterial SSU rRNA
Rfam family: Bacterial small subunit ribosomal RNA
Source: RNAcentral